This 92-nucleotide ribosomal RNA is filed under the name Clostridioides difficile. Lineage: Bacteria; Bacillati; Bacillota; Clostridia; Peptostreptococcales; Peptostreptococcaceae. The record is from RNAcentral.
CACCUGUUCCCAUUCCGAACACAGAAGUUAAGCUCUCUAGCGCUGAUGGUACUUGGUGGGAAACUGCCUGGGAGAGUAGGACGUAGCCACGU